CUACGUGCCAGCAGCCGCGGUAAUACGUAGGGCGCGAGCGUUGUCCGGAAUUAUUGGGCGUAAAGGGCUUGUAGGCGGUUGGUCGCGUCUGCCGUGAAAUCCUCUGGCUUAACUGGGGGCGUGCGGUGGGUACGGGCUGACUUGAGUGCGGUAGGGGAGACUGGAACUCCUGGUGUAGCGGUGGAAUGCGCAGAUAUCAGGAAGAACACCGGUGGCGAAGGCGGGUCUCUGGGCCGUUACUGACGCUGAGGAGCGAAAGCGUGGGGAGCGAACAGGAUUAGAUACCCUGGUAGUCCAUGCCGUAAACGUUGGGCACUAGGUGUAGGAGGUAUCGACCCCUUCUGUGCCGGAGUUAACGCAAUAAGUACCCCGCCUGGGGAGUACGACCGCAAGGUUGAAACUCAAAGGAAUUGACGGGGGCCCGCACAAGCGGUGGAGUAUGUGGUUUAAUUCGACGCAACGCGAAGAACCUUACCAGGUCUUGACAU
This 488-nucleotide ribosomal RNA is filed under the name uncultured bacterium. RNAcentral describes it as "bacterial SSU rRNA". It matches the Rfam family "Bacterial small subunit ribosomal RNA", at positions 501 to 987 of the family's 1533-position model. The record is from RNAcentral.